This 18-nucleotide small nuclear RNA is filed under the name Arabidopsis thaliana (thale cress). Its description in RNAcentral is "snRNA_07556". Lineage: Eukaryota; Viridiplantae; Streptophyta; Magnoliopsida; Brassicales; Brassicaceae. The record is from RNAcentral.
ACAACUGCCAAUAUCACA